UGCUGAGGACUCUAGCGAGACUGCCGGUGUUAAACCGGAGGAAGGUGGGGACGACGUCAAGUCCGCAUGGCCUUUAUGCCUAGGGCUACACACGUGCUACAAUGGCAAGUACAGAACGAUGCAAUACCGCGAGGUGGAGCAAAUCGCUAAAGCUUGCCCCAGUUCGGAUUGCAGGCUGCAACUCGCCUGCAUGAAGUUGGAAUCGCUAGUAAUCGCGGAUCAGCAACGCCGCGGUGAAUACGUUCCUGAGCCUUGUACACACCGCCCGUCAAGUCAUGGAAGCUGGUAGUGCCUUAAGUCGCCGAGAUUCAUCGGUGCCCGCGGCAAGACUGGUGACUGGGACUAAGUCGUAACAAGGU
RNAcentral lists this ribosomal RNA (359 nucleotides) under uncultured marine planctomycete DHB-1. RNAcentral describes it as "bacterial SSU rRNA". It matches the Rfam family "Bacterial small subunit ribosomal RNA", at positions 1129 to 1497 of the family's 1533-position model. Lineage: Bacteria; Pseudomonadati; Planctomycetota; Planctomycetia; Planctomycetales. The record is from RNAcentral.